RNAcentral lists this ribosomal RNA (447 nucleotides) under uncultured bacterium. Its description in RNAcentral is "SSU rRNA". It matches the Rfam family "Bacterial small subunit ribosomal RNA", at positions 26 to 518 of the family's 1533-position model. The record is from RNAcentral.
AGAACGAACGCUGGCGGCAGGCCUCAAACAUGCAAGUCUAGGGGGGUGUAGCAAUACAUCACCGGCGGACGGGUGCGUAACACGUGGGAAUAUACCUUUUGGUUCGGAACAACUGAGGGAAACUUCAGCUAAUACCGAAUGUGUCCUUGCGGAGAAAGAUUUAUCGCCAAAGGAUUAGCCCGCGUUCGAUUAGCUAGUUGGUAGGGUAACGGCCUACCAAGGCGACGAUCGAUAGCUGUUCUGAGAGGAAGAUCAGCCACACUGGGACUGAGACACGGCCCAGACUCCUACGGGAGGCAGCAGUUGGGAAUCUUGGACAAUGGGGGAAACCCUGAUCCAGCCAUGCCGCGUGAGUGAUGAAGGCCUUCGGGUUGUAAACUCUUUCGACGGGGACGAUAAUGACGGUACCCGUAGAAGAAGCUCGGCUAACUUCGUGCCAGCAGCCGC